Molecule: ribosomal RNA, 496 nt
Filed under: Eriopis canrash
Lineage: Eukaryota; Metazoa; Arthropoda; Insecta; Coleoptera; Coccinellidae
Description: partial large subunit ribosomal RNA
Rfam family: Bacterial large subunit ribosomal RNA (bases 370-496)
Source: RNAcentral
UUUGAAUUUAAUAUAAAGUAGGGCCUGCCCACUGAAAAUUUGAAGGGCCGCAGUAUUUUGACUGUGCAAAGGUAGCAUAAUCAUUAGUUUUUUAAUUGAAAGCUUGUAUGAAUGGUUUGAUGAAAAAAUUUCUUUCUAUAUUUAAUUUAAUAAGAAUUUUAUUUUUAAGUUAAAAAGCUUAAAUUUUUUUAAUAGACGAGAAGACCCUAUAGAGUUUAAUUUUUAAAGAAUUUUAAAAAUUAUUUAUUUAAUUUUUUUUAAAAAUUUGGUUGGGGUGAUUAAAAAAUUAAAUAAACUUUUUUUUUAUAAUUACAUUUAUUUAUGAAUAUAUGAUCCAAUUUAUUGAUUAUAAGAAUAAAUUACCUUAGGGAUAACAGCGUUAUUUUUUUUUAGAGUUCAAAUCGAAAAAAGAGAUUGCGACCUCGAUGUUGGAUUAAAGUUAAUAUUUGGUGUAGAAGCUAAAAUAUUUGGUCUGUUCGACCAUUAAAACUUUACA